Long non-coding RNA from Lolium perenne, 1617 nucleotides. RefSeq lists it as uncharacterized. The record is from RefSeq and is a predicted model, not a curated record. Lineage: Eukaryota; Viridiplantae; Streptophyta; Magnoliopsida; Poales; Poaceae.
AGUCUAAUAUUGGGCCGCAAACGGACUGCUGGCCCAUAAGCGAGGAGUCGGUGGUCAACCACCGCAUCAUCGCCGCGGGGCGGUGACGGAGCUCAACCCAGCCUCGCCGCUCACCGGAGCCCAGCCUCGCUGUUCGGUGGCUACCCGUGCUCCGCCUCCUCCCCAGAUUUUCCGCGCCUCCAGUCGCCGCUCCCAUGCCGGCCGGCGUCGACGACGAACCAGACCCGAAGCGCCGGUGAGGAAUAUGGCGCAUCCUUCCCCUCUAGUACGAGCUGCACCAGGUUGACCCGCCGGCCGCCGCCAUCAGAGGCUCAUGCCGUCGCUCGACAGGAGGGCCUCCCGAUUGUGCCGCCAUGCUUGCAAUCAGUCAAUCUGGGGGUAUGCAAUAGUGACAAUAGCCCAUACUGUUAUUGGAGUAUUUCCAUUAUCUGGAAUCUCCUAAAGAGUAUAUGUCAAGCAUGCUAGCUAUUGCAUGAUUACAUGGCAGCACGGGGAUGUAAGGAUGACUUGGUUGCUUGAAAGAACAGAAAAAAUAUUUGGUGGGAUCUAAUUUAUGAUAAUGUAGGACUAGAAGUUCCAUUUUCUUUUCGGCAUUGUCAUUUUUUUUUGCGAGAAACCGCUGAUUAUAUUAAAGUCCAGAAAUUACAGAAAGACACCCCAUAAAGAAAGAAAUAGCACACAGGUCCUUCUGCAACACAGUGACGACGGCGAGGAACCAGACGCAUCAGCGACGCGCCGCCCGCUGCAUCUUCCAAACCUUGGAACGAAGAUGAUCCCCCACGGACGGGAAGUUGCCGAAACUCGAACUCCGGAGAGCUCCAUCCUUCGCCAAGCCAGCACCACCGCCGGACUCCACCACCAGCAGCUUCGGUUUGUUGAUCUGGAUCCGCCGCUCCGGGAUCCAGCCGGGGAACGAGCGCGCACGGCGGCCACCCAGGACCGCGAGCACAGGGGAAGACGCCUGCUUGAUGCCGAAGCUCCGAAGAACGCCUGCACCGGAGAGGAAGAAGACGACCCCAAAACACCAACCGCCGACGCCUCCGCCUCCACGCCGCCGCCGACAAGCACCCUACUCAAGCCUACACUAUAUACACGACGAGAUCCGGGGUUCCCCCACCCUCCCGCCGCCGGAGCGGCCGGCGGAGCGAAGGGGAACCAGCGAAUCGACGCCGGCGAGGUGGUUUGACUAGGAGAUCACAAGAAAUCGCCUCCGGCACUGUAGCGGGGGAUGAGACGGGUCCAAGGGUGUGGGUCUCCGAUACUGCUCAUUGAGGAUGCCCGUGAAACCCGCUGUGUUGCCUCCGUCUAAGCUGUUGUUGUUAGACACCCCCGAUGAUGAAAUUUAGGUGAUCAAGUUCAAGCUUAUGUUGCUGCUCUCCCACUCAAAGCGGUGGUUGUGUGGUAACGGCUUCAUCAAGAUCGGCAUCCUCAAGUCAGGAGUAGCAGGAGAGCAAUGGCGACAGUCAUGCACCAGCCGCUUCCGUGUUCGUUGGUGCACGCAACCAGCUCGCUGAUGCCUCUGGCGAUGGCCAUCAACAGUGGCGGUGGGAAGAGGAUGCCGAGGAACUGAAGUGCAGCUGUGAUCAACUGUAUAUACAGGGUAAUUAUUCGCCCACA